AUGAGUAGUACAACUCUCUCUAUUUGCUCCUAGAAUGUAAGAGGCUUAGGCGAGGAAUCAAAAUGCGCUGAUAUCCUCUCUGAACUAAUUAGUAUCAACCCUCAUUGUGCACUCUUACAAGAAUCUAAGUUAAAUGACAUUAAUGACCGAAAAUUCAACUCCUUCCUACCGCGUUGUCUCGACCAAAGAAUUUUCUUACCGGCGAACGGUUCGGCCGGUGGAACGAUCUCCGCCUUUAAUAAAAAUUAUUUCUCCCUAAUCUCCUACUCCCAUCAUACGUAUGCAACAUCCAUUAAACUCACGUCACUCGCUCACCCCCUCCCCUUUGUCAUCACAAACAUCUAUGCCCCCUCAAAUCGUAACCUCAAACGGCCAUUCCUCAAUGAGCUCAAUUUAAUUAAAGAGGACGACCACACCCCGUGGCUAAUUGUCGGAGAUUUCAACCUCAUCCGUUUCUCCCACGAAAAAAAUAAACACAACUUUCGCCAACGGGAUGCAGACGCCUUCAACUCCACGAUCAACACCCUAGCACUAAUCAAACUACCCCUACUAGACAUACGCUUUACUUGGUCCAACAAACGAGCUUCACCAACACUCGAACGCCUAGACCGAGCUUUCUUCAAUCUGGCUUGGAAUAAUGUCUUCCCCAAUACAACUCUGUCAUCUUUGCCACGAAUUACAUCGGAUAACGUUCCACUAAUUAUAAAUAUUCAAACAACUGUCCCAAAACCAUGCCACUUUAGAUUCGAAUCAGCAUGGACUCUCUCCACUGCUUGUCAGCAAAUAAUACAAAAAUGUUGGGCCCCAAACCAACGAUUAACAUCCGCCACUGCCCUUGCGAAAGCUCUAAAAAACAAGGUAUGA
This 864-nucleotide ribosomal RNA is filed under the name Triticum aestivum (bread wheat). RNAcentral describes it as "partial small subunit ribosomal RNA". The record is from RNAcentral. Lineage: Eukaryota; Viridiplantae; Streptophyta; Magnoliopsida; Poales; Poaceae.